GGUUAACGCUGGCGGCGUGCCUAACACAUGCAAGUCGAACGGUUCUAAGCGCGAGCUUAGGAUAGUGGCGAACGGGUGAGUAAAAGGUAGGAAUCUACCCCUUGGACGGAGAUAGCUACUGGAAACGGUAGGUAAACUUCGAUAAGCCCGAGAGGGGAAAGUGGUGAGACAGCCGAGGGAUGAGCCUACUCUCCAUCAGGUAGUUGGUGAGAUAAAAGCUUACCAAGCCGAUGACGGAUAACCGGUGUGAGAGCAUGAACGGUCACAAGGGCACUGAGACACGGUCCAGACUCCUACGGGAGGCAGCAGUGGGGAAUUUUGGACAAUGGGCGCAAGCCUGAUCCAGCAAUGCCGCGUGCAGGAUGAAGGCCUUCGGUUGUAAACUAGCUUUUGUACGGAACGAAACGGUAGAGCUCUAAUAAAGACUUGCUAAUGACGGUACCGUAACGAAUAAGACACCGGCUAACUACGUG
This 473-nucleotide ribosomal RNA is filed under the name uncultured bacterium. RNAcentral's name for it is "bacterial SSU rRNA". It matches the Rfam family "Bacterial small subunit ribosomal RNA", at positions 28 to 507 of the family's 1533-position model. The record is from RNAcentral.